UAUGGGAAGAACAUCUGACCACUUCAGUUCAGGACAAGGUACCUGCAUAAAUCGUUUGUUCAUAGGUUGUGCAUACAGUUACGCCAUAUUGGCUUUGCUCUAAGUUUUUCGACUAGCGGGACGGCUAUUCUUGUGCGAUUUACAAAUAAUUUCUGAUUUCCUGAUUUUAGAGUUUGAUAUUCAGAGUUUCAUGUUCUUUGUUGAACAUUUUUAAACAUGGCUUCUCCGAAAUUAGAAGAAGUGCCAUUUAAAAUGUGGAGAAAUUAUAUAAAAGGCGUAAGUGCUGAAAAUACUACAGAGGAGCUUCUAUUAUCGAAUUAUUAUCGGUUUCCUGAAGUAUGUUCAGCGACAGUUAAAUAUUGGUAUAAAAUUUUCAAUAUUCUUGAUUGGAAAUAUAAUAAGCAGUCGCCCGGAAAGCAAAAGAUCCGUGGUUCGAGUCUUGGUCCAGUCAGUCCAACGGAUCAAUUUUUUAACGAAUCGUAUACAGUUGUCUCCGAUGUAUUGUCGCAGUCGGUCAGUGAAGAAUAGACCGAGUGUUUUUUGAUAAUGGGCCCAGUAGGGCGCACGUACACCCCCGUAGGGAUCCGCCUAGUGGAAGUGCGAACGUUAGCACUUGUUAAUUCUCUACAGGACUAGGGCGUAAACCUUUACAUAACUACGGCGCUCAUUUCGAAUAUUGGUUUAUAGUCUACGAUCGAUUCCAAUCGUACAAAAAUAAAGUGUAUUUUUAUUAGAUUAAUAAAUGAUUUAAUGUGUGCGAUUACAUGACGUCUCUUGUUUCAAGAAAUGAGAAACCAGUUUUAUGUAAGAUUAUAAAACGACCUUGAACUCGAAGAAUGAUAUCAUUUAUAAUGAACGAAGAAAACAAAUAUCACGAUAAGAUCAUUUGCCAACAGUAAUAAUGAACGUUUUAUUCUCGUGUCAAUCUACGAGUUCAAAGUUUUUACUUUAUACUUUUCACGAUAUUUUAUUUUUGAAGUGAAAACUUUUUUAGAAUCGUUGUGUUUUACAACUCGACGAAACGAAGAAACCACACGGAAAAGAGAGCAGACAUUUACAUUUAUAAUCGUUUCGUUAUUUCGUUAUCCACGAAAAUUUAAUAAAUUACACACCAGAAGUAUCAUCGCGGAUUCUUAAAAAAGAUUGCUUUAAAACUCCAAUAAUUUCAAUAUGUGGGGAUUUCAAUGUGAAUUUAGCAUCGGAUACAGCGUUCCCUUUGAUUGAGUUCCUGAACACCAAAUUAAAUUUAAUAAUGUGCAGCAGCAAGACUGAAUCGACAAUAUAAUCGAAAACAGUUAUUGACGCUGUAUUUCAAAGAUAUAUUAAUCAAAUUCAAACCAAAGCAUUUCUUUCAUACUUUAGAUACCAUAAGCUACUCGUAUCAUUUGUUGAAAUUGAAAACUUGAAGUCUGUAUAAUGUGUGUAAUAUAUGUAGUAUACGUAGAAUAAAAUGUAAACAUUCGUCUUAUUCCCUCAAAGUUUAGUUUUCUGAAGGUUUAAACACUUCUACCGCGUGUGAACUGCGCAUUUCUUAGUGUUCAUACCAGGUUCAAGUGUGACAGUACAAAAAAAUAUUUGUACGGUACCUUCCCAGCCAGCAAAUGGUUAUCGGCAAUUAUAUAAGUUACAAUGUCAAUUACAACAAAGCAAUUGCGACGUACAGGAGGGUACAAAAUUACCAACUUCAUCUCUUUUAAUUUAUACCUGCAAUCCUGGAUACAAAAUAAGCAAUUCCAGUGAUGUAUUUUGUGAUCCAGAAGGAAACUGGUUAAAUAUUCCAGUUUGUACAGAAAUACGUUGCCAGUCAUUGGCUUCAGCAUCGCAUCGACUAACGCUCAAUGUACAUUGAAUGGUGAAUGGGUAUCUUGUGAAUCUCCUGUUUUGCCUGGAACCAUCGCAGAACUCAGCUGUCGCAGCAAUUAUCAGGAAUUUGGAAAAGUUCAAUUGAAACAAAAAAAUCAAGUUACAUGUAACGACACUGGUCAUUGGGAACCCAAACCAAUAAGA
Molecule: long non-coding RNA, 2007 nt
Filed under: Polistes fuscatus (common paper wasp)
Lineage: Eukaryota; Metazoa; Arthropoda; Insecta; Hymenoptera; Vespidae
Description: uncharacterized LOC122514953, transcript variant X2
Source: RNAcentral